UAGAGUUCUAAAAAACUCCCAAACCCAUGUGGACAUACCUCAAGUUGCCUCGGCAGGUCGCGCCCACCUGGAACAGCCCUACCCUGUAGGGCCUACCCGGCAAGCGCGGGUCAGCCUGCCAGUGGACCAACAAACUCUGUUUAUUAUUGAAUUCUGAACCUAUAACUUAAUAAGUUA
Molecule: unclassified non-coding RNA, 177 nt
Filed under: uncultured Podosordaria
Lineage: Eukaryota; Fungi; Ascomycota; Sordariomycetes; Xylariales; Xylariaceae
Description: sequence contains ITS1
Source: RNAcentral